This 301-nucleotide ribosomal RNA is filed under the name uncultured bacterium. Its description in RNAcentral is "partial 16S ribosomal RNA". It matches the Rfam family "Bacterial small subunit ribosomal RNA", at positions 509 to 807 of the family's 1533-position model. The record is from RNAcentral.
CAGCCGCCGCGGGAAUACGAAGGGGGCUAGCGUUGUUCGGAAUUACUGGGCGUAAAGGGCGCGUAGGCGGCCAUUCAAGUUAGAUGUGAAAGCCCUGGGCUCAACCUAGGAAUUGCAUUUGAUACUGUUUGGCUUGAGUUCGGGAGAGGUGAGUGGAAUUCCCAGUGUAGAGGUGAAAUUCGUAGAUAUUGGGAAGAACACCAGUGGCGAAGGCGGCUCACUGGACCGACACUGACGCUGAGGCGCGAAAGCGUGGGGAGCAAACAGGAUUAGAGACCCCCGUAGUCCCUGUCUCUUAUAC